RNAcentral lists this ribosomal RNA (599 nucleotides) under Sulfitobacter faviae. RNAcentral's name for it is "bacterial SSU rRNA". It matches the Rfam family "Bacterial small subunit ribosomal RNA", at positions 97 to 731 of the family's 1533-position model. The record is from RNAcentral. Lineage: Bacteria; Pseudomonadati; Pseudomonadota; Alphaproteobacteria; Rhodobacterales; Roseobacteraceae.
GGCGGACGGGUUAGUAACGCGUGGGAACGUGCCCUUCUCUGCGGAAUAGCCACUGGAAACGGUGAGUAAUACCGCAUACGCCCUUCGGGGGAAAGAUUUAUCGGAGAAGGAUCGGCCCGCGUUAGAUUAGAUAGUUGGUGGGGUAAUGGCCUACCAAGUCUACGAUCUAUAGCUGGUUUUAGAGGAUGAUCAGCAACACUGGGACUGAGACACGGCCCAGACUCCUACGGGAGGCAGCAGUGGGGAAUCUUAGACAAUGGGCGCAAGCCUGAUCUAGCCAUGCCGCGUGUGUGAUGAAGGUCUUAGGAUCGUAAAGCACUUUCGCCAGGGAUGAUAAUGACAGUACCUGGUAAAGAAACCCCGGCUAACUCCGUGCCAGCAGCCGCGGUAAUACGGAGGGGGUUAGCGUUGUUCGGAAUUACUGGGCGUAAAGCGCGCGUAGGCGGAUUGGAAAGUUGGGGGUGAAAUCCCGGGGCUCAACCCCGGAACUGCCUCCAAAACUAUCAGUCUAGAGUUCGAGAGAGGUGAGUGGAAUUCCAAGUGUAGAGGUGAAAUUCGUAGAUAUUUGGAGGAACACCAGUGGCGAAGGCGGCUCACUG